CAAGGAAUUUUGUGCAAUGGGCGAAAGCCUGACACAGCGACGCCGCGUGGGGGAGGAAGGCUUUCGGGUUGUAAACCCCUUUUCCCAGGGAGGAAUAAAAUGACAGUACCUGGGGAAUAAGCCAUGGCUAACUACGUGCCAGCAGCCGCGGUAAAACGUAGGUGGCAAGCGUUAUCCGGAUUUAUUGGGCGUAAAGAGGGCGCAGGCGGCUUUUCAAGUCGGGCGUAAAAUCUCCCAGCUUAACUGGGAGGGACCGUUCGAUACUGUUAAGCUUGAGGACAACAGGGGGAGGUAGAAUUCCCGGUGUAGUGGUGAAAUGCGUAGAUAUCGGGAGGAAUACCAGUGGCGAAGGCGGCCUCCUGGGUUGUUACUGACGCUUAAGCCCGAAGGCGUGGGGAGCAAACAGG
Molecule: ribosomal RNA, 407 nt
Filed under: uncultured bacterium
Lineage: Bacteria
Description: bacterial SSU rRNA
Rfam family: Bacterial small subunit ribosomal RNA
Source: RNAcentral